AGUUUGAUCAUGGCUCAGAUUGAACGCUGGCGGCAUGCCUUACACAUGCAAGUCGAACGGCAGCACGGGAGCUUGCUCCUGGUGGCGAGUGGCGAACGGGUGAGUAAUGCAUCGGAACGUAUCCUGGAGUGGGGGAUAACGUAGCGAAAGUUACGCUAAUACCGCAUAUUCUGUGAGCAGGAAAGCGGGGGACCUUCGGGCCUCGCGCUCUUGGAGCGGCCGAUGUCGGAUUAGCUAGUUGGUGAGGUAAAGGCUCACCAAGGCGACGAUCCGUAGCAGGUCUGAGAGGAUGAUCUGCCACACUGGAACUGAGACACGGUCCAGACUCCUACGGGAGGCAGCAGUGGGGAAUUUUGGACAAUGGGGGCAACCCUGAUCCAGCCAUGCCGCGUGAGUGAAGAAGGCCUCGGUGUAAGACGUCUUCGUCG
RNAcentral lists this ribosomal RNA (428 nucleotides) under bacterium enrichment culture clone ALO1_GLFRUDD03FVN4Q. Its description in RNAcentral is "bacterial SSU rRNA". It matches the Rfam family "Bacterial small subunit ribosomal RNA", at positions 10 to 441 of the family's 1533-position model. The record is from RNAcentral.